AUUAAUUCCAGGUUGAUGUAUGUUUUUAAAUGCUGGAUAAAUAAUUGUAAUACUAGUAUACAAUUAAGUUUUCUUGGUAUUUUGCUCACAUUUAAAACAUGAAUAUGUUUUUAUCCUGCAAUUGGGUGUCUUACUAUACAGAUACAGCCCUACAGAUAUCGCUAUGCUGUACAGAUAUCACUUUAAUGAUCCGCCCAUUGCCUGACUACGUUUUUUGAGUGUUGUAUGAACCUGCCUGACAUCAGAAUGUGUAUUCCAGUCGCAUUCCAAUGACGUAUUGUUUGACCUUAUGCGAACUUAACGAUUACUUUUACACGUUAUGUUUGUUUUCAAACAUUUCUUUAGAGCAUAAAGAAUAAAACCAAUUUUCUAAUAACAGACAAACAUGAACUGCAGUAUUUUCUACGAC
RNAcentral lists this long non-coding RNA (409 nucleotides) under Mytilus galloprovincialis (Mediterranean mussel). Lineage: Eukaryota; Metazoa; Mollusca; Bivalvia; Mytilida; Mytilidae. The record is from RNAcentral.